RNAcentral lists this ribosomal RNA (921 nucleotides) under uncultured bacterium. RNAcentral describes it as "bacterial SSU rRNA". It matches the Rfam family "Bacterial small subunit ribosomal RNA", at positions 48 to 962 of the family's 1533-position model. The record is from RNAcentral.
CUUACACAUGCAGUCGAGGGGCAGCAUGGUCUUAGCUUGCUAAGGCCGAUGGCGACCGGCGCACGGGUGAGUAACACGUAUCCAACCUGCCGUCUACUCUUGGACAGCCUUCUGAAAGGAAGAUUAAUACAAGAUGGCAUCAUGAGUCCGCAUGUUCACAUGAUUAAAGGUAUUCCGGUAGACGAUGGGGAUGCGUUCCAUUAGAUAGUAGGCGGGGUAACGGCCCACCUAGUCUUCGAUGGAUAGGGGUUCUGAGAGGAAGGUCCCCCACAUUGGAACUGAGACACGAUCCAAACUCCUACGGGAGGCAGCAGUGAGGAAUAUUGGUCAAUGGGCGAGAGCCUGAACCAGCCAAGUAGCGUGAAGGAUGACUGCCCUAUGGGUUGUAAACUUCUUUUAUAAAGGAAUAAAGUCGGGUAUGGAUACCCGUUUGCAUGUACUUUAUGAAUAAGGAUCGGCUAACUCCGUGCCAGCAGCCGCGGUAAUACGGAGGAUCCGAGCGUUAUCCGGAUUUAUUGGGUUUAAAGGGAGCGUAGAUGGAUGUUUAAGUCAGUUGUGAAAGUUUGCGGCUCAACCGUAAAAUUGCAGUUGAUACUGGAUAUCUUGAGUGCAGUUGAGGCAGGCGGAAUUCGUGGUGUAGCGGUGAAAUGCUUAGAUAUCACGAAGAACUCCGAUUGCGAAGGCAGCCUGCUAAGCUGCAACUGACAUUGAGGCUCGAAAGUGUGGGUAUCAAACAGGAUUAGAUACCCUGGUAGUCCACACGGUAAACGAUGAAUACUCGCUGUUUGCGAUAUACUGCAAGCGGCCAAGCGAAAGCGUUAAGUAUUCCACCUGGGGAGUACGCCGGCAACGGUGAAACUCAAAGGAAUUGACGGGGGCCCGCACAAGCGGAGGAACAUGUGGUUUAAUUCGAUGAUACGC